This 98-nucleotide non-coding RNA is filed under the name chicken gut metagenome. RNAcentral describes it as "THF riboswitch". It matches the Rfam family "THF (Tetrahydrofolate) riboswitch aptamer". Rfam says of the family: THF riboswitch presents a pseudoknot that joins P1-P2 and the loop of P3 and two THF binding. The record is from RNAcentral.
UAGAGUAGGAAAUAAGUAGUUAAGUGUUACUAAACGGGAAGUUGUUAGUAAACGAAAAAGCAACAAAAGCUUUGCUGACUUAUUUUCGCAUUCCGCUA